UCAAGUUAUUAAGGGUGCAGGGCGAAUGCCUUGGCACUAGGAGCCGAUGAAGGACGUGAUAAGCUGCGAUAAGCUUCGGGGAGUUGCACGUAAACUUUGAUCCGAAGAUUUCCGAAUGAGGAAACUCACUUAGAGUAAUGUCUAAGUAUCGUAUGAUGAAUACAUAGUCAUGCGAGGGGAACCCGGAGAACUGAAACAUCUAAGUACCCGGAGGAAGAGAAAGAAAUUCGAUUCCGUAAGUAGCGGCGAGCGAACGCGGAACAGGCCAAACCAGUGAAGUUUUCUUCGCUGGGGUUGCGGACAUAUCAUAACGAAGAGGUAUCGUAGAAGAAGAGAGUUGGAAAGCUCCGCCACAGAUGGUAACAGCCCAGUAUUUUAAACGAGAAGACUUUAGAUAUGAUCCAGAGUACCACGGGACACGUGAAACCCUGUGGGAAGCAGGAGGGACCAUCCUCCAAGCCUAAAUACUACCUAGUGACCGAUAGCGUAUAGUACCGUGAGGGAAAGGUGAAAAGAACCCCGGGAGGGGAGUGAAAGAGAACCUGAAACCCUGCACUUACAAGCUGUAGGAGCACAUUAUUUGUGUGACUGCGUACUUUUUGUAGAACGGGCCAACGAGUUACGUUGUGUAGCAAGGUUAAGCACUUAAGGUGUGGAGCCGUAGCGAAAGCGAGUCUUAAAUGGGCGUCCAGUUACCCGACGUAGACCCGAAACCAGGCGACCUAUCCAUGAGCAGGUUGAAGCGAAAGUAAAAUUUCGUGGAGGACCGAACCCACGUACGUUGAAAAGUGCGGGGAUGACUUGUGGAUAGCGGUGAAAUUCCAAUCGAGCCUGGAGAUAGCUGGUUCUCCCCGAAAUAGCUUUAGGGCUAGCCUCAAGCUUAGAGAAACGGAGGUAGAGCACUGAAUGUCCUAGGGGGUAUUGCACUUACCGAAGACUAUCAAACUCCGAAUGCCGUAUUCUUUUGCUUGGGAGUCAGACUAUGGGUGAUAAGAUUCAUAGUCAAGAGGGCAACAGCCCAGAUCGUCAGCUAAGGUCCCUAAAUGUAAGUUAAGUGGUAAAGGAUGUGGAAUUGCACAGACAACCAGGAUGUUGGCUUAGAAGCAGCCACUCAUUUAAAGAGUGCGUAAUAGCUCACUGGUCGAGUGAUUCUGCGCCGAAAAUUUCCGGGGCUAAAACUUACUACCGAAGCUACGGCAUCAUUAUGAUGGGUAGGGGAGCUUUCUAUGCGGCUUGAAGCAUGACCGUAAGGACAUGUGGACUGCAUAGAAGUGAGAAUGUUGGCAUGAGUAGCGAGAUGUGGGUGAGAAUCCCACAGGCCGUAAACCCAAGGUUUCCAGGGGAAGGUUCGUCCGCCCUGGGUUAGUCAGGACCUAAGCCGAGGCCGAAAGGCGUAGGUGAUGGACAACAGGUUGAUAUUCCUGUACCACCAAUAACCGUUUGAGAAAUGGGAUGACACAGUAGGAUAAGCUAACCGCACUGUUGGUUAUGUGCGGGCAAGUAUUGAGGCAGUUCCGAUAGGCAAAUCCGUCGGAAUAAUGCUGGGGUACGAUGCGGAGCGAAAUUUAGUAGCGAAGUAGCUGAUUUCACACUGUCGAGAAAAGUCUCUAUCGAGGUUAAAGGUGCCUGUACCGCAAACCGACACAGGUGGGUGAGGAGAGUAUCCUAAGGCCAGCGAGAGAACUGUUGUUAAGGAACUCGGCAAAAUGACCCCGUAACUUAGGGAGAAGGGGUGCCUUCGAAAGAAGGCCGCAGAGAAUAGGCCCAAGCGACUGUUUACCAAAAACAUAGGUUUCUGCUAAGUCGCAAGACGAUGUAUAGGAGCUGACGCCUGCCCGGUGCUGGAAGGUUAAGGGGAUCUGUUAGAGCAAUCGAAGCAGUGAACUUAAGCCCCAGUAAACGGCGGCCGUAACUAUAACGGUCCUAAGGUAGCGAAAUUCCUUGUCGGGUAAGUUCC
RNAcentral lists this ribosomal RNA (1957 nucleotides) under human gut metagenome. Its description in RNAcentral is "bacterial LSU rRNA". It matches the Rfam family "Bacterial large subunit ribosomal RNA", at positions 3 to 1984 of the family's 2925-position model. The record is from RNAcentral.